Molecule: ribosomal RNA, 468 nt
Filed under: uncultured bacterium
Lineage: Bacteria
Description: partial 16S ribosomal RNA
Rfam family: Bacterial small subunit ribosomal RNA
Source: RNAcentral
GACGAACGCUGGCGGCGUGCUUAACACAUGCAAGUCGAACGGAAAGGCCCUGCUUUUGUGGGGUGCUCGAGUGGCGAACGGGUGAGUAACACGUGAGUAACCUGCCCUUGACUUUGGGAUAACUUCAGGAAACUGGGGCUAAUACCGGAUAGGAGCUCCUGCUGCAUGGUGGGGGUUGGAAAGUUUCGGCGGUUGGGGAUGUACUCGCGGCUUAUCAGCUUGUUGGUGGGGUAGUGGCUUACCAAGGCUUUGACGGGUAGCCGGCCUGAGAGGGUGACCGGCCACAUUGGGACUGAGAUACGGACCAGACUCCUACGGGAGGCAGCAGUGGGGAAUAUUGCACAAUGGGCGGAAGCCUGAUGCAGCAACGCCGCGUGCGGGAUGACGGCCUUCGGGUUGUAAACCGCUUUCGCAUGUGACGAAGCGUGAGUGACGGUAAUGGGUAAAGAAGCACCGGCUAACUACGUG